Molecule: ribosomal RNA, 1180 nt
Filed under: Salmonella enterica subsp. enterica serovar Agona
Lineage: Bacteria; Pseudomonadati; Pseudomonadota; Gammaproteobacteria; Enterobacterales; Enterobacteriaceae
Description: bacterial LSU rRNA
Rfam family: Bacterial large subunit ribosomal RNA
Source: RNAcentral
GGGUUGUGAGGUUAAGCGAUUAAGCGUACACGGUGGAUGCCCUGGCAGUCAGAGGCGAUGAAGGGCGUGCUAAUCUGCGAUAAGCGCCGGUAAGGUGAUAUGAACCGUUAUAACCGGCGAUACCCGAAUGGGGAAACCCAGUGUGAUUCGUCACACUAUCAUUAACUGAAUCCAUAGGUUAAUGAGGCGAACCGGGGGAACUGAAACAUCUAAGUACCCCGAGGAAAAGAAAUCAACCGAGAUUCCCCCAGUAGCGGCGAGCGAACGGGGAGGAGCCCAGAGCCUGAAUCAGCAUGUGUGUUAGUGGAAGCGUCUGGAAAGGCGCGCGAUACAGGGUGACAGCCCCGUACACAAAAGCGCAUGUGCUGUGAGCUCGAUGAGUAGGGCGGGACACGUGGUAUCCUGUCUGAAUAUGGGGGGACCAUCCUCCAAGGCUAAAUACUCCUGACUGACCGAUAGUGAACCAGUACCGUGAGGGAAAGGCGAAAAGAACCCCGGCGAGGGGAGUGAAAAAGAACCUGAAACCGUGUACGUACAAGCAGUGGGAGCACAGGUUUACCUGUGUGACUGCGUACCUUUUGUAUAAUGGGUCAGCGACUUAUAUUCUGUAGCAAGGUUAACCGUAUAGGGGAGCCGCAGGGAAACCGAGUCUUAACCGGGCGUUAAGUUGCAGGGUAUAGACCCGAAACCCGGUGAUCUAGUCAUGGGCAGGUUGAAGGUUGGGUAACACUAACUGGAGGACCGAACCGACUAAUGUUGAAAAAUUAGCGGAUGACCUGUGGCUGGGGGUGAAAGGCCAAUCAAACCGGGAGAUAGCUGGUUCUCCCCGAAAGCUAUUUAGGUAGCGCCUCGUGAAUUCAUCUCCGGGGGUAGAGCACUGUUUCGGCUAGGGGGCCAUCCCGGCUUACCAACCCGAUGCAAACUGCGAAUACCGGAGAAUGUUAUCACGGGAGACACACGGCGGGUGCUAACGUCCGUCGUGAAGAGGGAAACAACCCAGACCGCCAGCUAAGGUCCCAAAGUCAUGGUUAAGUGGGAAACGAUGUGGGAAGGCCCAGACAGCCAGGAUGUUGGCUUAGAAGCAGCCAUCAUUUAAAGAAAGCGUAAUAGCUCACUGGUCGAGUCGGCCUGCGCGGAAGAUGUAACGGGGCUAAACCAUGCACCGAAGCUGCGGCAGCGA